CCUACGGGUGGCAGCAGUAGGGAAUCUUCCACAAUGGGCGAAAGCCUGAUGGAGCAACGCCGCGUGGGUGAAGAAGGUCUUCGGAACGUAAAACCCUGUUGUUAGAGAAGAAAGUGCGUGAGCGUAACUGUUCACGUUUCGACGGUAACUAACCAGAAAGCCACGGCUAACUACGUGCCAGAAGCCGCGGUAAUACGUAGGUGGCAAGCGUUAUCCGGAUUUAUGGGGCGUAAAGGGAACGCAGGCGGUAUUUUAAGUCUGAUGUGAAAGGCUUCGGCUUAACCGGAGUAGUGCAUUGGAAACUGGGAGACUUGAGUGCAGGAGAGGAAAGUGGAA
Molecule: ribosomal RNA, 336 nt
Filed under: uncultured bacterium
Lineage: Bacteria
Description: partial 16S ribosomal RNA
Rfam family: Bacterial small subunit ribosomal RNA
Source: RNAcentral